GACGAACGCUGGCGGCGUGCUUAACACAUGCAAGUCGAACGAUGAUCUCCCGCUUUCGGGGGUGAUUAGUGGCGAACGGGUGAGUAAUACGUGAGUAACCUGCCCUUGACUCUGGGAUAAGCCUGGGAAACCGGGUCUAAUACUGGAUACUACUUCCUGCCGCAUGGUGGGGGGUGGAAAGGGUUUUACUGGUUUUGUAUGGUCUCACGGCCUAUCAGCUUGUUUGUGGAGUAAUGGCUCACCAAGGCGACGACGGGUAGCCGGACUGGGAGGGUGACCGGCCACACUGGGACUGAGACACGGCCCAGACUCCUACGGGAGGCAGCAGUGGGGAAUAUUGCAGCAUGAGCGGAAGCAUGAUGCAGCGACGCCGCGUGAGGGAUGACGACCUUAGGGUUGUAAACCUCUUGCAGCAGGGAAGAAGCCACAAGUGACGGUACCUGCAGAAAAAGCGCCGGCUAACUACGUG
RNAcentral lists this ribosomal RNA (469 nucleotides) under uncultured bacterium. RNAcentral's name for it is "partial 16S ribosomal RNA". It matches the Rfam family "Bacterial small subunit ribosomal RNA", at positions 28 to 507 of the family's 1533-position model. The record is from RNAcentral.